CCUGACUCCAUGAGAUGCCCAGUGACUUAAUAAAGGGCUGGGCUUUGCACAGGUGGCUGAGUCCCCUUCAUGAGCGUCACACCAAUCUCCAGAGGAGACAAAACCAGCAACAUACAGAAACACAAAUCUGAAAAGAAAUGAAGAACCAUCUUUGCCUUAGGAUGUGGCAAAUGGAGCUUUGGAACUGAUUCAUAUUCAAAAGAAGGAUCUCCUGCCCUAGCAACACAGCAAGACCUCAUUUCUACAAAAUAGAAAAAAAAUAGCCAGGUGUGGUGGUGAGUGCCUGUAGUCCCAGCUACUCGGGAGGCUGAGAUGGGAGGAUCGCUUGAGCCUACGAGAUCAAGGCUGCGGUGACCCAUGAUUAUGCCAUUACACUCCAGCCUGGGCAACAGUGUGAGACCUUGUCUCAAAAAAAGAGAAGGUGCUGUCUGCCUGUUGUGAAAGAGACCUUCCAUAGAUAGUUUAUCCAAUGAACACUGGUGCUCAUGCACAUGUGUGUGUAGUGGCGUCUCCAGGUUGGUUAACAGGGUCUCUGCCUCACGACCAGUCCAUUACUUAGUGAUGUGGUCACAUUUCUGUUGGUUCUUUCAGACACAGCCCCAGGGCCUCAUUCUGCCAGCCAAAGUCAGGCUCUGGUUUGCCGCCUCCAACAGUCCCACUCUGUGAGAUCCUGGUUAAUUUGGUUUGUACUUGGCAAAAAAAAAAAAAAAAAAAAAAAAAAAAAAACCUACAAAAAAGUGCCAAGAAUGUCUCCUUUAUUUAGGAAAUACAAUAUACUUUCUUAGUGAAAAUGAGUUCUCUUCUAGUUUGCUAUUCAGAAGGGACAUAAUGGUUUUGCAUACUCAUAGCUUCUCUUUCUAGUCUUUCUGGAAAUCUAAGAUGCUAAAUGUUCUUGGCCCUCAACUGAGUCCUUUCUAUCUUUAGGCACCAUUCAAUGUCCAUAGCUUUUUCAUCGGACAACUCUCAUUUUACAUCCUCUUAGUGUAUUACUAUAAUUUUUAAUUCUAUACAAAGGAUCUCACUCAUUUCUCAACUAUCCAUUGUCCCAACAAUUAUUUUUACUUGAAUAAAGAAUAUAACAUUUUCCUUUGAUCAAGCAUAUCAGAAUAUCAUGGUGUGUUUAAGUGUUAAGACACUGAGGACAGCACCACUCAGGAAAAAGUGAGGUGUCUAUGGAGCCAGCCUUGCAGAGUUAAUCUGCUCUUAACUAGUGGUGGCCAUAGACUAAAGUCUCCAUGCACAAGGCAAGCCAAGCUCUACUUCUGAAGUCUGAUACCUGAGCUCUCCAUAGCUAGAAGAUUCCAUGAAACAGAAACAAGCCACUGACUUGCCCAUAGUAGGUGGUUCUGUAUAAAUGAGAACAGGAACAGAAUUCAGGUGACAUGAUACCAGAAUUGAGAACUAGACAAGCAGGGAGGGUUGAUGCAUUAGUCCAUUCUCAUGCUACUAUAAAGAACUGACCAAGGCUGAGCAAUUUCUAAAGGAAAGAGGUUUAAUUGACUCACAGUUCUGCAUUGCUGGGGAGGCCUCAAGAAACUUAAAAUCAUUGCGGAAAGGGAAGCAAAACACGUCCUUCUUCACAUAAUGGCAGGAAGAAGUGCUGAGCAAAAGGGAAAAAGCCCCCUAUGAAACCAUCAGAUAUCCUGAGAACUCACUCACUAUCAUGAGAACAGCAUGGAGGUAACCACCCCAAUGAUUCAAUUACCUCCCACCAGGUCCCUCCUACUAUGAUUUAAGAUGAGAUUUGGGUGGGGACACAGCCAAACCAUAUCAGAUGUUAACCCAUCCAAGCACAGAGUACAGGAAAUACCACUCUGGAAUAUGGAAAUCAUUGAACUAAGCAGUGGAAGCUAGUACAUGGAAACAUGAGUUGUUUAGGCAACUCAGAUACAAUGUCAUGAGGAAAGCAAAGGCAGGGAGAGCUGUGGCUGGCACAGAAGACAUUGGGAAGACAGAAGGUUUCAUAGGAUUAGUUUGGCCCUGUUGAAAAGUUGUGGAGAUCCAGGGAGAGAUGGCUGGAGAAGGAAACUUAAACGUUGAAAAGAAAAAAGAAGAAAGCUAGACUAGAGUAAUGUAAGGCCCUAAAGGAUGAAAAGGGAGACUAAGAAGUGAUCACAAGUUUCUCGAUCAAGGAAAGGGCUGUCAGCCCAGGAUUUCCCAAUGUGCCUGGGAGCAAUGUCUUCCAAGAUAAAGAUUUCACCUGCAGAACUAGUCUUCAGUGUCCCAAAGGACCUAUUCUCAAAUAACUCAACAAUAUCACUUCCAUUCUGCCCUCUGUGUAUCUGCAGCUAAGAUUUCUCCACACUGUUUCCAUCCUCAGGUUUUUCCUACCAAUUCAACUUGCUAACAGAGUUAGCAAGUUGACUAAGAAUUAUCAGUUAUUUCUUAUGUCUCAUUUCUUCUUCCUAUCACCCCUGUUCAUUUUCACAGUAACAGGUUUUGUACUUUUAUCUGAGUCUUUUUUUAAAAAAAAAAUCCUCUCUCAAGCUUCUCUACUUUUAGUCUUCUAAAUCAAAUUAAUGAAUUGUCUGCUAUCCCAGGCCCUCUGACACCUGAUCCCUGAAUAGAAGUGUUGUUCUUGUAUCUUACACAAUGAUUCACUGCAGAGAUAUCUCUCUGAGCCUGGGAUUUCAUGACACUGAAAACACAGAACAAGCUUUAUCAAUGGCAGCCAUAUUUCAUCUACACAUGGAAGCUGUUCACCUACCUCAGGGGAAGGUUUCAGAAACAGAUGGUCUGCUUUGGAGACUAUAUACACUCAG
Molecule: long non-coding RNA, 2762 nt
Filed under: Homo sapiens (human)
Lineage: Eukaryota; Metazoa; Chordata; Mammalia; Primates; Hominidae
Description: HSALNT0166024
Source: RNAcentral